Ribosomal RNA from Danio rerio (zebrafish), 117 nucleotides. NCBI's taxonomy places the organism in Eukaryota, Metazoa, Chordata, Actinopteri, Cypriniformes, Danionidae. The record is from Ensembl.
AGCCACAGUCAUAUCACCCUGCAGCUCAAGACCAGUUACUCACUGAAGCUGAGCAGGGCAGAGCCUGGUCAGUACCUGGGUGGUAGACAUCAUGGGAACACUAGGUUGCUGUUGGUA